Long non-coding RNA from Monodelphis domestica (gray short-tailed opossum), 1291 nucleotides. The record is from Ensembl. Lineage: Eukaryota; Metazoa; Chordata; Mammalia; Didelphimorphia; Didelphidae.
GGACUAAGCAUUUUAGGGAACGGGAGGCUGUCGGAGUUUGGGGUCGCCCCCUCCGGGGGUUCUGCUGUUUAGCUUGAACGCUAAGCUAUAUACUAUCGGAGAGGGAGUGGGUGGCGCCCCCGAGGGCCAAAGACGGCCCAGAACGAGGCGGAGGGGCUGCGCCUGGCUUCCAGGAGCCAGGAACACUGGGAGGACGUGGAAGACCGGGAAGCGAGAGAAAAUAAGCCCAACCGCCAAAUGUCCUUAUCUCUCCCCGGACGGGCGAGACUGCCACGAUCCGGCCAAACCUCCCUCCUUCGGACAAGCCCAAGGAAGGAGUUGGGCGAUAGCUGCAGAGGAGCCGCGAAUUCAGGGAGGAGCUGCUCCCCCCUCCCCUCCCCCAUCUGCCGGGUUUCAAUUGGACGAUCCCCCCCCUCCCCCCCCGAACAUUUCUGGGGCCAGUCCGAGACUUCAGCUGUGACAGAACUGGAAGGCGAGGCAAACAGCCAGUUCGCUAGUCUUGCUCUAAGCCCAGCCCCGCCCCACUCCCGCUGGAGAGCCGGUUCCCUUUUAUUUUAGAGAGAACACUGCACUACAAGGUUCAAACACCUCCAGCGGCGCCCCGGGGUGGUAAAUGGUGACACUGAAGUCUGCAAGACCUGGGUUCAAGUCAAGCCUCAGUUCAGAAGACUAAUUUCUAGAGAAGGCGCCGGGCUAUACAGUAGAGAAAUGCCUACACAGGACCAAACGCAUUAAAGCAUGCUUCCCUCAGGCCUGUCUGCCUUGCAUGGUCCAUAUUUUUAUCUUGGCACCACUCUCAGGGCUUCACUCCUGGCGGGGCUCUGGCAGCAUCUCUCUGGAAGGCAGCAUCCUUCCCCAACCAGGAAAAGCCCUACUGUGUGCUGGCAGCUUCCCCUUCAGAGCCUCCACAAACCAACCUCCCCUAAAUGAUGAGCCAUUAUACUCAGAGCACACACUGGAAGCUGAGGCAGAAGACGGGCACAUCUUUAAAUGUAGCCAUGCAAUGGCGGCUCGUCCAAUGGGAGCUCCAUCCCGAGUCAGCAGUCCACCCUGGGGACCCAGAAAGAAAGAAGGGCAAGUGGAGGCUGUUACCUUGAAAAGAAACGCUGAACUACCAAGGCAGUCAGACAGACGGAAGUCCUCAACCAGGAAUAGGCGUAGGAGAGGGUCCAUUGUUUGGGCCAUCGCUCAGUCCAGUGCCACACACCACCCAGGGCCCGCACCCUGGGGAUUUGGGAACCCUAGCUCAAUAUGUUCUUUGGCCUGGAAAUACAGAAUGUUGUCCACCUGA